RNAcentral lists this ribosomal RNA (539 nucleotides) under uncultured bacterium. Its description in RNAcentral is "bacterial SSU rRNA". It matches the Rfam family "Bacterial small subunit ribosomal RNA", at positions 356 to 896 of the family's 1533-position model. The record is from RNAcentral.
GAGGAAUAUUGGUCAAUGGGCGAGAGCCUGAACCAGCCAAGUAGCGUGCAGGAUGACGGCCCUCCGGGUUGUAAACUGCUUUUAGUUGGGAAUAAAAAAAGGGACUUGUCCCUUCUUGUAUGUACCUUCAGAAAAAGGACCGGCUAAUUCCGUGCCAGCAGCCGCGGUAAUACGGAAGGUCCAGGCGUUAUCCGGAUUUAUUGGGUUUAAAGGGAGCGUAGGCGGAUUGUUAAGUCAGCGGUUAAAGGGUGUGGCUCAACCAUGCAUUGCCGUUGAAACUGGCGAUCUUGAGUGCAGACAGGGAUGCCGGAAUUCGUGGUGUAGCGGUGAAAUGCUUAGAUAUCACGAAGAACUCCGAUCGCGAAGGCAGGUGUCCGGGCUGCAACUGACGCUGAGGCUCGAAAGCGUGGGUAUCAAACAGGAUUAGAUACCCUGGUAGUCCACACAGUAAACGAUGUAUACUCGCGGUUUGCGAUAGACAGUAAGCCGCCAAGCGAAAGCAUUAAGUAUACCACCUGGGGAGUACGCCGGCAACGGUG